CUUUUGUCUCGCCGCCACUGGGCCUUCUUCAUCCAGGAGACCAUUGGCUUCUGCGCAGUGAGUAAUGGGAUGUCACGUUGAUGAAUUCCGACCCUGGGUCCAGGAACUGAAGGUAAACCCACUAGGGGUUAAAUCUGUAUCUGCUAUCUGACCUUUUUUAAUUGGAAAGAAGAGGGGGCUGACCACCUCCUUAAGCUAAACGCUCUGUAGCUAGCCUAUUUAGCAUACGAUCUGUUUGGCUGAAUUCUGGUGUAAAUAUAUUGUC
Non-coding RNA from Pelobates cultripes (western spadefoot toad), 265 nucleotides. Lineage: Eukaryota; Metazoa; Chordata; Amphibia; Anura; Pelobatidae. The record is from the annotation of a GenBank genome assembly.